UACGUAGGGGGCGAGCGUUGUCCGGAUUUAUUGGGCGUAAAGCGCGCGCAGGCGGUUCGUUAAGUCCGAUGUGAAAGCUCCCGGCUCAACUGGGAGAGGUCUUCGGAUACUGGCGAACUCGAGGGAGGCAGAGGAAGGUGGAAUUCCGGGUGUAGUGGUGAAAUGCGUAGAGAUCCGGAGGAACACCAGUGGCGAAGGCGGCCUUCUGGGCCUUUCCUGACGCUGAGGCGCGAAAGCGUGGGGAGCGAACCGGAUUAGAUACCCGGGUAGUCCACGCCGUAAACGAUGCUCACUAGAUGUGGGGGGUAUCGACCCCCUCCGCGUCGAAGCUAACGCAUUAAGUGAGCCGCCUGGGGAGUACGGCCGCAAGGCUAAA
RNAcentral lists this ribosomal RNA (376 nucleotides) under uncultured bacterium. Its description in RNAcentral is "bacterial SSU rRNA". It matches the Rfam family "Bacterial small subunit ribosomal RNA", at positions 524 to 898 of the family's 1533-position model. The record is from RNAcentral.